Molecule: ribosomal RNA, 424 nt
Filed under: Churamiti maridadi
Lineage: Eukaryota; Metazoa; Chordata; Amphibia; Anura; Bufonidae
Description: partial 16S ribosomal RNA
Rfam family: Bacterial large subunit ribosomal RNA
Source: RNAcentral
GCCUGCCCAAUGACUCUGUUAAACGGCCGCGGUAUCCUAACCGUGCGAAGGUAGCGUAAUCACUUGUUCUCUAAAUGAGGACUAGUAUGAAUGGCAUCACGAGGGCUAUCCUGUCUCCUUUUUCUAAUCAGUGAAACUAAUCUCCCCGUGAAGAAGCGGGGAUAAAAUUAUAAGACGAGAAGACCCUAUGGAGCUUUAAACAAUAUAGCACUUGCCAUAUAAAUUAAAUUUUUCCGAAUCAUUAAUAUCCUAAACAAUUUGACUAUAAGUUUUUGGUUGGGGUGACCACGGAGCAUAAUUUAACCUCCACGUUGAAAGAGCUUUUUCUAAGCUAAGAAUUACCUCUCUAAGCAUCAACAUAUUGACAUCAAUUGACCCAAUACACUUGAACAACGAACCAAGUUACCCUAGGGAUAACAGCGCA